This 1921-nucleotide long non-coding RNA is filed under the name Sparus aurata (gilthead seabream). RNAcentral's name for it is "lncRNA (ENSSAUG00010003207.1)". Lineage: Eukaryota; Metazoa; Chordata; Actinopteri; Spariformes; Sparidae. The record is from RNAcentral.
UGUGCCGGGCGGGGGGGGGAACUAUCUCAACAAUCGUCGCGUCGGCGCUUUAAGCCCUGGGCGGAGCUUGAUCAUUGAACUUGCUACUGUUGUCUGCAGUGAUAUCAUAACACUGCAAUAUGAAGAAGCGCUCAUAUGACCGCCGCACGUCUGCAUCCCAGAGGAAGACACACACAGGUGCUGUAACUGGGGCAAAGGGAAGGCAUGAGGAAUAAAAGAAAGAGGAAGGAUGCCAGCUGAGCCCCUCAUCCGCCUGCGACUGCCACCGCUGCCAGCAUCGAACUAAAGAAGCACAGAAAAUGGCUCAGUCUGUGAGGAGGCCCGAGACUCUAGGAGCCAUGGACCACGAGCCCCAGAGGGACAAGGCCAGGACCAGCUACUUUGGCAACGUCAAGACCAGGCUGGGCUCCAAGCUCCCUCCAGGGGUCUCUCAGCCUCCACAGUUCGCUAAGGGGCCCUGGGAGACUCAACCUCAGGCCCGAGUGACGCCGAGGCCAAACGCCAGCAGCCAGCGUCAGAACCGGCCCGCCGUGGGCCGGCCUCUCAACCACAUCCCCCACAUCAGAAACCCCAAACUGCGGCAGUACUACCUGCAAGGGACUUCAUGGGAUCUCAACAAUGCGGCCGUGAAGCAAGAAUCUAUGAGUGGACCGUCAGAUGACAGCUCAGGCAGCAGGGGUCUCCCUGGGGACACAGUGUUCAGCGUGUCAUCUCAGUUCAGCAGUGUCGCCAUGUCCUCGGCAGAAGAGGGCAAAAUGGGUCUCCGUCCCUCCCGUUCCUCCUUGAACUUGCCCUCCUCGUCUGCUGCCCUCGUCUCCAGAGAGGGGAAACACCCCUCUGCCGGUCAAGGGUCGUCUCAACCAGAACUGGACUCGGACUCAGAUCCUAACCUGAAGCGAGAGGUGGAGGCGGAUCGGGACUCUGUGGAUACACUUGCUGCUCAGCCUCAGUCCCCCUCACCAGAGGCAGAAUAUGACAAACUAUUGGUGAGUAGAAAAAUACAUUACAUAAUCACUUAGGAAGCACUAGUUCUGGAUUGUUUUUUGUGUAAGUGUAACUGAAGUGAACAGCAAUUAACUUCAGUUUUAUAUGAGAGUGAUAUGAAUUUCCAUUGUAUGCUACUUUAUACUUCUACCCAGUGACUCUUCAGAAAGAAGUACUGUACUUGUACUCUAUUUACUUUGUUUGACAGCGGUAGUUACAAGUUACCUCUCGUAUUUAGAUUUUACAAUGAGGAUUUUGGAAGAUUUUACAUACAAGAUGAUACGCUGCUUGGAUACGUUACACCAGCAGUGAUCAUAUCACUGGUUUUCACCACUUUCACUUGUGACGUUGUUACAGAGAGUUUUUUCUGUUCCCCUUUACACUUUCCAAAGGAUUUCAUUAAAGUAACUAUUUAAACUAUUAUAAAGAGUAGAGAAAAGUCCACAAAAAUGAAUUACUCCAUUAAUUAUCUAAUGAUCCCUCAUAUUCUUGUGUCAUGACUCUUUAUUGGAAUACAGUCAGCUAAACCAGCUGUAAAUAAAGUAGUUAUAACCAGUUCCAACUCGAGCGGCUCCAGCAGUCAAUGCUGCAUUAUUGCAUCAGAAUGAACCAGUGUUUAUGUACUAUGUACUUAGUGUUUUAGAGUAUACCAAAGCACACUUGGUUUGUCUUUCCACAGUCACCUCUUGUUUGGUCGAAAUAAAUCCGCAAUCUUCCUCUAAAUUUCUUUUUCAAGUUAUGACUUCAAGCAUUUUAGAGUCUUUAGGUGCCAAAGUAACGUGACAUGUCAAGCUUCAGUUCAGGAAAGAUAAUCCCAAUGUUGAAAAAAAUAAAGGGAUGCAAGCUAUACUGUGUAACAAGCCUCUCUCACCCUGAGGUGAACUAAAGGUUAGGAGCUUCUUUUUUAAAAUACAAAAAUAUGAAAUAAUUGCUUAUG